ACAGCCACGUUCCGUUCCUUUCGUUGAUUAAUGUUUCCAUCUUCGACUCCCUGAUUAUUCGGGAUUGAAAACUCAUUUCCGCGUUUCCAUUUUCGAUCCCAAAUCAAGAACAUGGUCCUCUUUACAAUCAACAUACACCGAACCAACACCUUUAGCGAUUUCGGAAAUUAUUGGAUUUCCAAAACGCGCUUUGAGACAAUGCUAUAAAUAGUUAUACCAGCCUUCUCCACACCAUCGUUACCACCCUCCUUCCUCACAUAACCCGACACCUUAUCACCCACGAAUCCUCUCAUAACCACUCUUGACACCGCCCUCACAACACCCUUCGCACAUCCCGCACUCCCCUUCGUCUGCACUAGCCAUCGACGGAGCAUUUGGGACUCGCCGGAGUUCCUUGAGUUACGUCGGAACCCGGCGCAAACCGGUUCGACAAAGAAAAGUCACCAUAGUUUUACUCACUCUCGAACACCCUCAGCUUCGUCGGAGGAAACAAGAAGACAGACGGAGAACACGCCCUCACCGGAGAAAGCCGACAUCACUGAAGUUCAUGCCGGACUUUUACGAUGGAACUCGACAAGUAACUGUUUCGGUUAAUCGCUUUGCUCGUUCUCUUGGAUUCUCCAAACUUUACUCGUGCGUUAUUACAAGAAAACGCAACGCAACCAAUGUUGAAUGAUCAAGAAAACAAGAAUCAAGUUAGGAUGGACAUUAGAAACCCAUUUUAGCAAUAAACUAUGUUUAAAUUUAUGUUUUGGAUAUUUGAAAUUUGUAUUGUUCCUUAGUUUUAAUAAAUGGAUUAAUUUUAUAUUAUCA
Long non-coding RNA from Helianthus annuus (common sunflower), 813 nucleotides. RefSeq lists it as uncharacterized. NCBI's taxonomy places the organism in Eukaryota, Viridiplantae, Streptophyta, Magnoliopsida, Asterales, Asteraceae. The record is from RefSeq and is a predicted model, not a curated record. The transcript has 3 exons.